AGGCCGGGGUCUCACAGCGACUGCGCGGACGGGUUCCUGAGUGGAACAUGGCGACUUGCGCCGAAAUCCUGCGGAGCGAGUUCCCCGAAAUUGACGGACAAGUCUUCGACUACGUGACCGGCGUCUUGCACAGCGGCAGCGCGGACUUCGAGUCUGUGGAUGACCUAGUGGAAGCUGUAGGGGAACUAUUGCAAGAGGUGUCCGGGGACAGCAAGGAUGACGCGGGCAUCAGGGCCGUGUGCCAGCGCAUGUACAACACUCUGCGUCUGGCUGAGCCACAAAGCCAGGGAAAUAGCCAGGUGCUACUGGACGCCCCUAUCCAGUUGUCAAAGAUAACGGAGAACUACGACUGUGGAACCAAACUUCCAGGACUGCUAAAGAGGGAACAGUCCUCGGUGAGGAGGAGGAAGCAAGGGAGGGGACUGUAUGUGAUGGGGUUGGGAGUUGACUGUCUAAUUGCAGUAUCUUUUUGGGGGAUUUCUGACUAUGUCUUUUCCUAAGCCUUUGAGUCUGUUCAUCAUGGGUAAGUUAAGAGGGUUUACUCGAGAUGUUCUCUCUUGGGGUUCCUUUCUGAGCCUACACCCUAGAGUGAAGUCGAUGUGUUUGGACCCUUAGACAGUGAAUGCAAAGAAGUUAGAGAAGGCCGAGGCUCGACUUAAGGCAAAGCAGGAGAAGCGCUCAGAGAAGGACACGCUCAAGACCAGCAACCCUCUAGUCUUAGAAGAGGCAUCAGCCAGCCAGGCAGGCAGCAGAA
Molecule: small RNA, 754 nt
Filed under: Pongo abelii (Sumatran orangutan)
Lineage: Eukaryota; Metazoa; Chordata; Mammalia; Primates; Hominidae
Description: retained intron
Source: RNAcentral